UACGUAGGCAGCGAGCGUUGUUCGGAAUUACUGGGCGUAAAGAGUGUGUAGGCGGUGCUCUAAGUUCGGUGUGAAAUCUCCCGGCUUAACUGGGAGGGUGCGCCGGAAACUGGAGUGCUCGAGCGUGGGAGAGGAAAGCGGAAUUCCUGGUGUAGCGGUGAAAUGCGCAGAUAUCAGGAGGAACACCGAUGGCGAAGGCAGGUCUCUGGGCCACUACUGACGCUGAGAAGCGAAAGCAUGGGGAGCGAACAGG
This 253-nucleotide ribosomal RNA is filed under the name uncultured bacterium. Its description in RNAcentral is "partial 16S ribosomal RNA". It matches the Rfam family "Bacterial small subunit ribosomal RNA", at positions 524 to 776 of the family's 1533-position model. The record is from RNAcentral.